Molecule: long non-coding RNA, 2114 nt
Organism: Homo sapiens (human)
Lineage: Eukaryota; Metazoa; Chordata; Mammalia; Primates; Hominidae
Gene: CASC19
Product: cancer susceptibility 19
Source: Ensembl
GGUAACUACAUGCAUGUAAUGAUGAGAAUAUUUAUAUGUAUUUAUGAUUAUCACAAAAAAACAAAGAUUCUACCAUUCAAGAGGAACAUUUAUUUUAUUUUUUUAUUUGAGAAAAGUAUAAUUUUAUUUAUUUAUUUAUUUGUGCAAAUUUAUGGGGUACUUGAGAAAAUGUGUUACAUGUAUAUAAUGUGUAGUGAUCCAAUCAGGAUACUAAGGGUGUCCAUCACCUGAGUGUAUUACAUUUUUGUUAAGUAUAAUCAUCCUACUCCAGGAGAACAUUUUAAAAACUGUUCUGUAGAGAUACUACUCAAAUUAAGUUCUCAGUCCUGAAACAUCAGAUCAGCUAGGAAUCUGACAAAAAUGCAAGUUCUCAGAUGACAGAUGAGACCACUUCAAUCAGAAUUUCUGGAGUGGAGCCCACACAUUUGUAUUUUUGCAACCUUUCCAAUGAUACUUAUGUACAUGCUCAAGCUUGAAAACCACUUUCCUAGGACAUUAGUUCCUCGACAAGAUUUGUGAGUAACCUUGUUUCAUGAAAAAGUGUUUAGGAGAUACUGAUUCAAUAAAAACUAAUCAGGCUUUUAUUGUUUGCAGGGCUUUCAAAACUUGCAAUAGGCCACUGUGCAUUGUUAAUUUCUAAGAGGAAGAUGCUUAUGUCCUCAAUGAAUAUCUUCCCACCAUGAAGUACUCUUCUUCCCCCACUUUUUAAAACAAUUACUAACACCUGGCAGAAGUAGGCAGACAGCUUACAGCUUAGAAAAAGUUGGCCUAAGAUAAUGGCUAAUUUUCAUACAUUAUUUAUUUGUCAUCAUGCUUAUCUUUCUCUCUCUAAAUUGUAUAUUUCAUCUCUGUGAUCACAGAUUGAGCCUCAUAUUUCAUAUCUGCCCCUGGCCUAAUGGUUGUUUACAGAAUGAGCUCAAUGAAUAUUGUUAAAUAACACUAACAAAGUUGACCUUAGAAUUGGAGUGCCUGGGUUAGAACCCUGCUGGUACCACCUGCUUACUGCAUGCUUCUGAUGUGAGUUCAGGAGAAGACACUGGCAAGGACAGCAAAGAACAGGAGAACACUCUAGCUUCCCUGAUAGCAUUCAAGGUGCUGUCCAAACUGACUGUGAUGGCACCCUCCAGACAGACAGCGAUGCCACAUGUUCAAGAUGGCAGAAUCACUAUCAGCUUCAAUUCCUGAAUGACUGCAGAGCAAAAUUUCUUACCUGCAACAUACACUCUAUUUUCAGCCUCCCUGGACUGUUACAUAAUGAUACAUAAAAAUAUUUCUUGUGUUGAGGCAUCCCAAAUUUGAUUUAUUUGUCAUCACAGUCUAUCCUAUGAAUAUAUUUCUGAUCCAAAUAAUGCUAGAUUCAUGAGAGUUUAUAGUCCAGAGAUUUUUUUUUUUUUUUUGAGACAGAAUCUGUCUCCCAGGCUGGGGUGCAGUGGCAUAAUCUUAGCUCACUGCAACCUCUGCCUCCCGGGCUCAAGUGAUCCUCCCUCCUUAGCCUCCAUGAGUAGCUGGGACCACAGGUGUGCACCACCACACCCCGCUAAUUAUUUUGUAUUUUUUGCAGAGGGGGGUUUCACCACAUUGCCCAAGCUGGUCUCAAACUCCUAGACUUAAGGGAUCUGCCUGCCUUGGCCUCCCAAAAUGCUGAAAUUACACUUGUUAGCCAUAGUAAUAGUUCCUAGCCAUAGUCCGGAGAUAUUUUAAAAACUUUAGUGUGAGUUAUUUCUCUUUGCUAUAAUUCUCUCAUGCAUUUUGAAAACCUUUUCUGCCAUACAGUGGUUUUUGGGAAGUCCUUUUGGACAGACAUAUCACAGGAUGGAGAAACUAAAAAGAGAGAAUGCAUUAAAGAAAAAAUAGUACUUCGUAUUUCAGAAAUUACAAAAGGGUGUCAUGCCCCACAGCAUGGUGGGCAGUCAUUUGUAACCCACAGAACAUUGAGUUUCUAAAAUUUGAGUGUUUUUAACUUACGAAGGCCAACUUUACUGAUGAAGUGAUUACCCCAAAUAUGUGAAAUCCAUAUUUCAAGUACAAUAGUAGGAAAUUGGAAAUGGGUAGGUAUAUUUCUGACUGUCAAAGAGUACAAAGUAAAGAGGGGCCCCUGAAGAGUGACACUACUG